This 447-nucleotide ribosomal RNA is filed under the name uncultured bacterium. Its description in RNAcentral is "bacterial SSU rRNA". It matches the Rfam family "Bacterial small subunit ribosomal RNA", at positions 355 to 825 of the family's 1533-position model. The record is from RNAcentral.
UGGGGAAUAUUGGGCAAUGGGCGAAAGCCUGAUCCAGCCAUGCCGCGUGAGUGACGAAGGCCUUAGGGUUGUAAAACUCUUUCGUCGGGGACGAUAAUGACGGUACCCGAAGAAGAAGCUCCGGCUAACUUCGUGCCAGCAGCCGCGGUAAUACGAAGGGAGCUAGCGUUGUUCGGAAUCACUGGGCGUAAAGCGCACGUAGGCGGAUAGUUAAGUCAGGGGUGAAAUCCUGGGGCUCAACCCCAGAACUGCCUUUGAUACUGGCUGUCUCGAGGUCGAGAGAGGUUGGUGGAAUUCCUAGUGUAGAGGUGAAAUUCGUAGAUAUUAGGAAGAACACCAGUGGCGAAGGCGGCCAACUGGCUCGAUACUGACGCUGAGGUGCGAAAGCGUGGGGAGCAAACAGGAUUAGAUACCCUUGUAGUCCCUGAGCGGGCUGGCAAGGCGCAU